Molecule: ribosomal RNA, 429 nt
Filed under: Chloroflexota bacterium
Lineage: Bacteria; Bacillati; Chloroflexota
Description: Chloroflexi bacterium partial 16S ribosomal RNA
Rfam family: Bacterial small subunit ribosomal RNA
Source: RNAcentral
UGGGGAAUAUUGCACAAUGGGCGCAAGCCUGAUGCAGCCAUGCCGCGUGUAUGAAGAAGGUCUUCGGGUUGUAAAGUACUUUCAGCGGGGAGGAAGGGCGUAAAGUUAAUACCUUUACUCAUUGACGUUACCCGCAGAAGAAGCACUGGCUAACUCCGUGCCAGCAGCCGCGGUAAUACGGAGGGUGCAAGCGUUAUUCGGAAUUACUGGGCGUAAAGCGCACGCUGGCGGUUUGUUAAGUCAGAUGUGAAAUCCCCGGGCUCAACCUGGGAAAUGCAUCUGAUACUGGGAAGCUUGAGUCUCGUAGAGGGGGGUAGAAUUCCAGGUGUAGCGGUGAAAUGCGUAGAGAUCUGGAGGAAUACCGGUGGCGAAGGCGGCCCCCUGGGCGAAGACUGACGCUCAGGUGCGAAAGCGUGGGGAGCAAACAGG